Molecule: long non-coding RNA, 898 nt
Organism: Chinchilla lanigera (long-tailed chinchilla)
Lineage: Eukaryota; Metazoa; Chordata; Mammalia; Rodentia; Chinchillidae
Exons: 3
Source: RefSeq, a predicted model, not a curated record
CUGAACACCGGCACGCUCACCAUGCUGCGGUCCUCCUGCAUGGUGAAGGGGUUCACGCAGCCCAGACACAGGCACCGCGCCUCGGGCAGGCACAUCACAUCAGGAAAGCCUGUGGCUCUCAGGGAAAGACCAGGCUGCCCAGGAGGUCAAGGGAAGAGGACCCACCAGUACCUGCCGGGUAGGAGGCAGAGCUGGCCAGACAAACUUCCAGAUGGGAAACUGAGGCUGGAGCACAGGGAUCUGCACAGUGGUGACAGACCUAGGGAUGGUGCCUGGUUCCCAUCCAGAACUUCAUCUGCCGCCCCACACUGUUUGUCUUGGGACGUUUCCUGCACAAAGCCAGCCUGCUGUGAAGCUGUGAGUGUCACAUGAGCCAAACUGCAGGUCCAGAAGGACAUCAUGGCUGACAGAUCUGGCCUUCCUGGAACAGUGUGCUCUCCUAUAUAUACGAGGUGUGCCCUCCCGGGGCCUGGCCCCUAGGUGCUGCUUGUGACCUUCCUUCUCUUUCAAUCUCAGUUUCCCUCUCUGUAAAAUGGGAGCCACGCCCACAGACAAUCGCCCAGCCCAUUGCUGCAGAAGUCUGUCUGAGCCUUGGGUCUCAUACCUCUAGAACAGAAAUAAUCAUUCUAUCUGCCCCUCAAAGCUGCUAGAAGGAAUAAAGGAAAUACUCAUGCUAAAUAGCUGGCAUAGUGCCUGACACAUAAUAAGUGCUCAAUAAAUAUUUUGCUGUUUAUUAUAAACACUAUGAUAAAAUUAUUUUAUACCUGUGAUUACAAACAUUAGCCAUUCUGACUUGCAUUGGCACUAGCAUGGUUCUCAUCCCUCAGCCAAAUGCCCUCUCCGCCCGUCACGCCCACCCUCCUGGCUGAGAGUUCCAGUCUCUCCAGACUCAGGCCAC